Molecule: ribosomal RNA, 467 nt
Filed under: uncultured bacterium
Lineage: Bacteria
Description: partial 16S ribosomal RNA
Rfam family: Bacterial small subunit ribosomal RNA
Source: RNAcentral
ACGAACGCUGGCGGCGUGCUUCACACAUGCAAGUCGAACGGAAAGGCCCUGCUUUUGUGGGGUGCUCGAGUGGCGAACGGGUGAGUAACACGUGAGUAACCUGCCCUUGACUUUGGGAUAACUUCAGGAAACUGGGGCUAAUACCGGAUAGGAGCUCCUGCUGCAUGGUGGGGGUUGGAAAGUUUCGGCGGUUGGGGAUGGACUCGCGGCUUAUCAGCUUGUUGGUGGGGUAGAGGCUUACCAAGGCUUUGACGGGUAGCCGGCCUGAGAGGGUGACCGGCCACAUUGGGACUGAGAUACGGCCCAGACUCCUACGGGAGGCAGCAGUGGGGAAUAUUGCACAAUGGGCGGAAGCCUGAUGCAGCAACGCCGCGUGCGGGAUGACGGCCUUCGGGUUGUAAACCGCUUUCGCCUGUGACGAAGCGUGAGUGACGGUAAUGGGUAAAGAAGCACCGGCUAACUACGUG